AAGCAGGGGAUCGUAAGACCUUGCGCUUUUGGAGUGGCCGAUGCCUGAUUAGCUAGUUGGUGGGGUAAGGGCCUACCAAGGCGACGAUCAGUAGUUGGUCUGAGAGGACGGCCAGCCACACUGGGACUGAGACACGGCCCAGACUCCUACGGGAGGCAGCAGUGGGGAAUUUUGGACAAUGGGCGGAAGCCUGAUCCAGCAAUGCCGCGUGAGUGAAGAAGGCCUUCGGGUUGUAAAGCUCUUUCAGUCGAGAAGAAAAGGUUGCGACUAAUAAUCGCAACUUAUGACGGUAUCGACAGAAGAAGCACCGGCUAACUACGUGCCAGCAGCCGCGGUAAUACGUAGGGUGCGAGCGUUAAUCGGAAUUACUGGGCGUAAAGGGUGCGCAGGCGGCUCUGUAAGUCAGAUGUGAAAUCCCCGGGCUUAACCUGGGAAUUGCGUUUGAAACUACAAAGCUUAG
RNAcentral lists this ribosomal RNA (460 nucleotides) under uncultured ammonia-oxidizing beta proteobacterium. Its description in RNAcentral is "bacterial SSU rRNA". It matches the Rfam family "Bacterial small subunit ribosomal RNA", at positions 202 to 645 of the family's 1533-position model. The record is from RNAcentral. Lineage: Bacteria; Pseudomonadati; Pseudomonadota; Betaproteobacteria.